GAACCUUACCUAGACUUGACAUCCCGGGGAUUUUCUGGAAACAGAGAAGUGCUUUAGCAAUAAAGAACCCGGUGACAGGUGCUGCAUGGCUGUCGUCAGCUCGUGUCGUGAGAUGUUGGGUUAAGUCCCGCAACGAGCGCAACCCUUGCCUUUAGUUGCCAGCAUUCAGUUGGGCACUCUAGAGGGACUGCCGGUGUCAAACCGGAGGAAGGUGGGGAUGACGUCAAGUCCUCAUGGCCUUUAUGUCUAGGGCUACACACGUACUACAAUGGCCGGUACAAAGGGCAGCCACUCAGCGAUGAGGAGCCAAUCCCAUAAAGCCGGUCUCAGUCCGGAUCGCAGUCUGCAACUCGACUCCGUGAAGUUGGAAUCGCUAGUAAU
This 381-nucleotide ribosomal RNA is filed under the name uncultured bacterium. RNAcentral describes it as "bacterial SSU rRNA". It matches the Rfam family "Bacterial small subunit ribosomal RNA", at positions 966 to 1342 of the family's 1533-position model. The record is from RNAcentral.